This 577-nucleotide ribosomal RNA is filed under the name uncultured bacterium. RNAcentral's name for it is "bacterial SSU rRNA". It matches the Rfam family "Bacterial small subunit ribosomal RNA", at positions 936 to 1510 of the family's 1533-position model. The record is from RNAcentral.
AGCAUGUGGCUUAAUUCGAUGCAACGCGAAGAACCUUACCAGGACUUGACAUGCCUGUCGUAUUUUUCUGAAAGGAAAGAGUCAGUUCGGCUGGACAGUGCACAGGUACUGCAUGGCUGUCGUCAGUUCGUGCCGUGAGGUGUUGGGUUAAGUCCCGCAACGAACGCAACCCUUAUGUCUAGUUGCUAUCAGUGGUGAUGAACUAUUGAGCACUCUAGACAGACUGCCCAUGUUAAGUGGGAGGAAGGUGGGGAUGACGUCAAGUCAGUAUGGUCCUUAUGUCCUGGGCUGCACACGUGCUACAAUGGCUGGUACAAUGGGAAGCAAUACAGCGAUGUGGAGCUAAUCCCCAAAAACCAGUCCCAGUUCAGAUUGGAGUCUGCAAUUCGACUCCAUGAAGUAGGAUUCGCUAGUAAUGGUGCAUCAGACACGGCACCGUGAACACGUUCCCGGGCCUUGUACACACCGCCCGUCACAUCAUGAAAGCGGUUUGCACUAGAAGUCAUUGCAGUUUAUGCAAUGCCCAAGGUGUGAGUCGUGAUUGGGAUGAAGUCGUAACAAGGUAACCAAGGGCGAA